RNAcentral lists this ribosomal RNA (586 nucleotides) under uncultured bacterium. RNAcentral describes it as "bacterial SSU rRNA". It matches the Rfam family "Bacterial small subunit ribosomal RNA", at positions 102 to 684 of the family's 1533-position model. The record is from RNAcentral.
ACGGGUGAGUAAUACAUCGGAACGUGCCCAAGAGUGGGGGAUAACGGAGCGAAAGCUUUGCUAAUACCGCAUACGAUCUACGGAUGAAAGCAGGGGACCGCAAGGCCUUGCGCUCAUGGAGCGGCCGAUGGCAGAUUAGGUAGUUGGUGGGAUAAAAGCUUACCAAGCCGACGAUCUGUAGCUGGUCUGAGAGGACGACCAGCCACACUGGGACUGAGACACGGCCCAGACUCCUACGGGAGGCAGCAGUGGGGAAUUUUGGACAAUGGGCGCAAGCCUGAUCCAGCCAUGCCGCGUGCAGGAUGAAGGCCUUCGGGUUGUAAACUGCUUUUGUACGGAACGAAAAGCCUCUUUCGAAUAAAGAGAGGUCAUGACGGUACCGUAAGAAUAAGCACCGGCUAACUACGUGCCAGCAGCCGCGGUAAUACGUAGGGUGCGAGCGUUAAUCGGAAUUACUGGGCGUAAAGCGUGCGCAGGCGGUAAUGUAAGACAGAUGUGAAAUCCCCGGGCUCAACCUGGGAACUGCAUUUGUGACUGCAUUGCUGGAGUGCGGCAGAGGGGGAUGGAAUUCCGCGUGUAGCAGUGA